RNAcentral lists this transfer RNA (74 nucleotides) under Candidatus Pacearchaeota archaeon CG10_big_fil_rev_8_21_14_0_10_32_14. RNAcentral's name for it is "tRNA-Thr". It matches the Rfam family "tRNA". Rfam says of the family: Transfer RNA (tRNA) molecules are approximately 80 nucleotides in length. Their secondary structure includes four short double-helical elements and three loops (D, anti-codon, and T loops). The record is from RNAcentral. Lineage: Archaea; Nanobdellati.
GCCUCUGUAGCUCAGUUGGUUAGAGCGCGAGUUUCGUAAACUCGAGGUCCCGGGGUCGGAUCCCGGCAGAGGCU